UGUGCAAGCUGGCUUGUCGCCGUCCCGCUUCUUGGCGGGAGGGAGGAAAGUCCGGGCAACAUAGAGCGCCAUACUUCCUAACGGGAAGGGAUCAAGUUGGUGACGGCUUGGUUACAGAAAGUGCCACAGAAAAUAUACCGCCCCGAUCAGAUCGGGGUAAGGGUGAAAUGGUGGGGUAAGAGCCCACCGCUCUGGUGGUGACACCAGGGGCAGGGUAAACCUUAUGGGUUGAAAAACCAAAUAGGUCCCGCACCGAAUUCAAUUUCGGAAAAGGCGGCUCGUCUUUCUGCGGGAUGGGUAGGUUGAUGGAUCCUUGUUGUGAAGCAAGGGCUAGAUAAAUGACAGGCACUCUUUUUGUCAGACAAAAAGAGUACAGAACCCGGCUUAUAGGCUUGCACACUUU
Non-coding RNA from Belliella pelovolcani, 403 nucleotides. The record is from Rfam. NCBI's taxonomy places the organism in Bacteria, Pseudomonadati, Bacteroidota, Cytophagia, Cytophagales, Cyclobacteriaceae.